Molecule: ribosomal RNA, 1442 nt
Filed under: uncultured organism
Description: 16S ribosomal RNA
Rfam family: Bacterial small subunit ribosomal RNA
Source: RNAcentral
CAGGCUUAACACAUGCAAGUCGAGGGGCAGCAUGGUCUUAGCUUGCUAAGGCCGAUGGCGACCGGCGCACGGGUGAGUAACGCGUAUCCAACCUGCCUUACACUCUUGGACAGCCUUCUGAAAGGGAGAUUAAUACAAGAUGUUAUCAUGAGUAAGCAUUUUCGCAUGAUUAAAGGUUUACCGGUGUAAGAUGGGGAUGCGUUCCAUUAGAUAGUAGGCGGGGUAACGGCCCACCUAGUCUUCGAUGGAUAGGGGUUCUGAGAGGAAGGUCCCCCACAUUGGAACUGAGACACGGUCCAAACUCCUACGGGAGGCAGCAGUGAGGAAUAUUGGUCAAUGGACGAGAGUCUGAACCAGCCAAGUAGCGUGAAGGAUGAAGGUUCUAUGGAUUGUAAACUUCUUUUAUACGGGAAUAAACGAAUCCACGUGUGGAUUUUUGCAUGUACCGUAUGAAUAAGGAUCGGCUAACUCCGUGCCAGCAGCCGCGGUAAUACGGAGGAUCCGAGCGUUAUCCGGAUUUAUUGGGUUUAAAGGGAGCGUAGAUGGGUUGUUAAGUCAGUUGUGAAAGGUUGCGGCUCAACCGUAAAAUUGCAAUUGAUACUGGCAGUCUUGAGUACAGUUGAGGUAGGCGGAAUUCGUGGUGUAGCGGUGAAAUGCUUAGAUAUCACGAAGAACUCCGAUUGCGAAGGCAGCUUACUAACCUGUAACUGACAUUGAUGCUCGAAAGUGUGGGUAUCAAACAGGAUUAGAUACCCUGGUAGUCCACACGGUAAACGAUGAAUACUCGCUGUAGGCGAUAUACAGUCUGCGGCCAAGCGAAAGCAUUAAGUAUUCCACCUGGGGAGUACGCCGGCAACGGUGAAACUCAAAGGAAUUGACGGGGGCCCGCACAAGCGGAGGAACAUGUGGUUUAAUUCGAUGAUACGCGAGGAACCUUACCCGGGCUUAAAUUGCAACCGAAUAUGGCGGAAACGCUAUAGCUAGCAAUAGCGGUUGUGAAGGUGCUGCAUGGUUGUCGUCAGCUCGUGCCGUGAGGUGUCGGCUUAAGUGCCAUAACGAGCGCAACCCUUGCCGAUAGUUACUAACAGGUCAUGCUGAGGACUCUGUCGGGACUGCCAUCGUAAGAUGUGAGGAAGGUGGGGAUGACGUCAAAUCAGCACGGCCCUUACGUCCGGGGCUACACACGUGUUACAAUGGGGGGUACAGAGGGCUGCUACCACGCAAGUGGAUGCCAAUCCCAAAAACCUCUCUCAGUUCGGAUUGAAGUCUGCAACCCGACUUCAUGAAGCUGGAUUCGCUAGUAAUCGCGCAUCAGCCACGGCGCGGUGAAUACGUUCCCGGGCCUUGUACACACCGCCCGUCAAGCCAUGGGAGCCGGGGGUACCUGAAGUGCGUAACCGCAAGGAGCGCCCUAGGGUAAAACUGGUGACUGGGGCUAAGUC